ACUCAAAUGAAUUGACGGGAUUUAGCACAAACGGUGGAUUAUGUGGUUUAAUUCGAUGCAACGCGAAGAACCUUACCAGGGUUUGACAUGUCUAGGAUUUUUCAGAAAUGGAAAAGUGCCAAAUUCUACUUUUAUGGAAUCUGGAGCUAGAGCACAGGUGGUGCAUGGCUGUCGUCAGCUCGUGCGUUGACGUGUAUGGUUAAGUCCUGCAACGAGCGCAACCCUCGUCCUUAGUUACAUAAUAUGCUCUCUAAGGAGACUGCGCGCGCAAGCGCUGAGGAAGGUGAGGAUGAUGUCAAGUCAGCAUGCCCCUUACACCCUGGGCGACACACGUAAUACAAUGGUUGAGACAAUCAGAAGCUAACCCGCGAGGGCAUGCAAAUCUGCUAAACUCAGCCUCAGUUCGGAUUGUAGGCUGCAACUCGCCUACAUGAAGCCGGAAUCGUUAGUAAUCGCCAAUCAGCCAUAUGGCGGUGAAUACGUUCUCUAAAUUUGUACACACCGCCCGU
RNAcentral lists this ribosomal RNA (509 nucleotides) under uncultured bacterium. RNAcentral describes it as "partial 16S ribosomal RNA". It matches the Rfam family "Bacterial small subunit ribosomal RNA", at positions 899 to 1397 of the family's 1533-position model. The record is from RNAcentral.